Molecule: ribosomal RNA, 1371 nt
Filed under: uncultured bacterium
Lineage: Bacteria
Description: bacterial SSU rRNA
Rfam family: Bacterial small subunit ribosomal RNA
Source: RNAcentral
GAUGAACGCUGGCGGCGUGCCUAAUACAUGCAAGUCGAGCGAACGGACGAGAAGCUUGCUUCUCUGAUGUUAGCGGCGGACGGGUGAGUAACACGUGGAUAACCUACCUAUAAGACUGGGAUAACUUCGGGAAACCGGAGCUAAUACCGGAUAAUAUUUUGAACCGCAUGGUUCAAAAGUGAAAGACGGUCUUGCUGUCACUUAUAGAUGGAUCCGCGCUGCAUUAGCUAGUUGGUAAGGUAACGGCUUACCAAGGCAACGAUGCAUAGCCGACCUGAGAGGGUGAUCGGCCACACUGGAACUGAGACACGGUCCAGACUCCUACGGGAGGCAGCAGUAGGGAAUCUUCCGCAAUGGGCGAAGGCCUGACGGAGCAACGCCGCGUGAGUGAUGAAGGUCUUCGGAUCGUAAAACUCUGUUAUUAGGGAAGAACAUAUGUGUAAGUAACUGUGCACAUCUUGACGGUACCUAAUCGGAAAGCCACGGCUAACUACGUGCCAGCAGCCGCGGUAAUACGUAGGUGGCAAGCGUUUUCCGGAAUUAUUGGGCGUAAAGCGCGCGUAGGCGGUUUUUUAAGUCUGAUGUGAAAGCCCACGGCUCAACCGUGGAGGGUCAUUGGAAACUGGAAAACUUGAGUGCAGAAGAGGAAAGUGGAAUUCCAUGUGUAGCGGUGAAAUGCGCAGAGAUAUGGAGGAACACCAGUGGCGAAGGCGACUUUCUGGUCUGCAACUGACGCUGAUGUGCGAAAGCGUGGGGAUCAAACAGGGUUAGAUACCCUGGUAGUCCACGCCGUAAACGAUGAGUGCUAAGUGUUAGGGGGUUUCCGCCCCUUAGUGCUGCAGCUAACGCAUUAAGCACUCCGCCUGGGGAGUACGACCGCAAGGUUGAAACUCAAAGGAAUUGACGGGGACCCGCACAAGCGGUGGAGCAUGUGGUUUAAUUCGAAGCAACGCGAAGAACCUUACCAAAUCUUGACAUCCUUUGACAACUCUAGAGAUAGAGCCUUCCCCUCGGGGGACAAAGUGACAGGUGGUGCAUGGUUGUCGUCAGCUCGUGUCGUGAGAUGUUGGGUUAAGUCCCGCAACGAGCGCAACCCUUAAGCUUAGUUGCCAUCAUUAAGUUGGGCACUCUAAGUUGACUGCCGGUGACAAACCGGAGGAAGGUGGGGAUGACGUCAAAUCAUCAUGCCCCUUAUGAUUUGGGCUACACACGUGCUACAAUGGACAAUACAAAGGGCAGCGAAACCGCGAGGUCAAGCAAAUCCCAUAAAGUUGUUCUCAGUUCGGAUUGUAGUCUGCAACUCGACUACAUGAAGCUGGAAUCGCUAGUAAUCGUAGAUCAGCAUGCUACGGUGAAUACGUUCCCGGGUCU